CUCCCCGAUCCCUCCCACCUCCCCUCCCCUCGCCGCCACCCACCCCUCCCCUCGCACUCCUCCCUCCCCCCCGGCAAGAUCCAGCACGCGGCCUCCCUCUCCUCGAUCCAGAUCGACAGGUCCACCACCUACACUUCCGGCGAUCCCCAAUCCGGCGACAGAGAUGGCUGCUCCCGCGCCGGCCUUCUUCCUCGCCCCAGAUGCCGCUGCUCGUCUCCUCUCCGGUGAGUGCGGAGGAGCCACCGCGGUCGAGGUAGCCGUCGGCUGGAGCCCCGCCUCUUCUCCUCUCCGGUCACCGUGGAGGUCCGCCGCGUCCAACCUCCUCGACGGCGCCCUGAACCCUAGGCGGCCCAUCUCUUCCUCCCAUGGCCAUGGCCAUGGUGAGCCUACAAGAUGUGCAGCAGCAGAUAUUGAUUUCCCAGCCCGCCUGACGGCCCGCUCCCCUCGCCCCCGCGCAGAUCUUCGAGUACAACGGCUCCGCAACCUGCAGCCGCCGGUCCGGGACGAGCGCAGUGCCGGUUCAGGUGUCCAGCGUCAACCAGAGCGCGCCCCAGAUGCUCGACGGAACGCCCGCUGCACCGCCUGGUCUCAACUUUCUUGCCCUUUGCCAAGCUGAGGGAGAGGGCUAGGGGCUCGGGUGGUGCAGUGGCUGUAAGAAUACGCUCGGGAAAGCAGAGUCGGGUCUACUAGGGCGGCAUCCCCGGCCGUCGUCGGCGGCUACUUCAUCUACAAAGGCUCCAAGCUUGUCCAUGACUCCACUGCCCUCCAGGUUACGUCCGAAUGCUCGUUCCCUCCUCCCCUCAGAUCCACUAGCGUGUUGGUUGGAAUCAGUGGAUAUUCACAUGAUGUAUACAUGGAACUGCAGCUUCACAUCUUUGUCCUGAAUCAUAAUGAGUAUCUUUUCUCGCCAUCGAUUUCUGCACGUAUGGUUCAGCUGGUAUGUCUAGAUCUACAUGUUCACCUGGCUUAUGGUGCAUCUCAAUCAUGGACGACAAAAUGUCAAAAUCCUAGCUUAUAUACACUGUACUAAUGUGGGUGGAUACAAUUUCAGAAGAUGAAACUUCAAUAAAAUGAAAAGGCAAAAUUAUAUUGAUUGUUGCCUUCCAUCCUUUUCCUGAAUCGUAAUGCUGAUCUUUUCUUUUGAUUUAUGUGUCUUUAUUUAAGUUAGCUCAUCAUGAGCUAUAGGUUUAGCUGGUUUGUUGGAUGCCAGGUCUUUCUUGUCAUUUUUGACAACCUUUUGAUUUGUAUCUUGAGCCACAUUUUCUACUUCUUGUCUUUUCAAUGUGAGAAUACCAGACACGAAAUGAUGCAUAUGCAUUGUGAUACCUGGAUCACUUUAAAUUCAGGAUUAUUCAUGGCUAAUUCAGGAUUGAAGCAGGGGAAACCCCCCUCCUCCAUAUUGCCUGCUGAUUAUUUGGGGAUGUCUGUGGAGAGAGAUGUUGAUACUUCUAUAGGCCUAUCACUUCAAAUUUUAUUACAACCAGUUUUAUGCCUAGAACAAUCAUGGUGUCUAGUUUCUGUUUUAUGCCCCACGUUUUACUAGCUACAAGCUCAGCUUCGUGCUCUGUAGGAAAUAAGUACAUCAUUAUUUAGGCGUGUUCUGAUAAUAGUGAAGAAUAAAGGUGUCUUCUGAUGUGGUGGUGCCAAACAAAACUUUUAUGCUUAUUGCUGAGCUUACUUUUAAUAUUGUGAACAUGACAAUUUAUAGGCUGUACUGAAGUUCCACUCAUUUUAUUCUGUGUCCUGAGCUUACCUUUGUAUGUCAGGAUUUUUUCUUCAUCUAUUACCCUUCCUUUGGUUGUAGUUUAUCUUCGUACAGAAACCAAUCUUGGUGUUCUUCCUACUUGCAUUUGAUUAUGUUUUUAAAAUUCCCUAGCACAACUAUAUAUGACAAUGUGGGUAUCUUUUCUGUUUUCAGUGUCUAUAGUGCAUUUGCAUGAUCUUGAAUUAUGUGCUACAGAAUAUAAUUAGCUGAUUUAAACUGCUGUUUUCCUUCGCCUAAUCAAAUGCCCUUUGUCUUUGCAGUAUGCAUACCCAAGUCAAGCUUGCGGUCACGAUGAAGGUGCUGAUAUGGGUUUCCUAUCUUCAGAAGUAAAAUGUUUGCUUGCUACCUUCUUUAGGAUGUUGUACUUCAUUCAUGUUUCAUCGUGGGCUCCAAGACGAAGAAGUCGGGAGAAUCAUAGACUUCUAGCUCAUUGGAUCAUAGACUUCUAGCUUAUUGGAGCUAGUUAUACGUCGAUAGCUUGUUAUUUUUUUAUUCUAUAUUUGUGUUACCUGAUGCGAACUAUUUCUGAUUGUAAACCUGAUGUGAACCAUGUUUGAUCGCAAUGUGCCAGGUUUGGCUCUUUUUGAUUGUAUUCAUGAUUUGAACCAUGUUUUCAUGAUAUUUAGUUAUGCUUUGUUUGAAGCAUUGUAUAAAUAUUGGUUAUUUAUUUAUUGGAUCAUUGAAAUCUGAGGAACCAUUUGCUA
This is a long non-coding RNA of Triticum aestivum (bread wheat), 2469 nucleotides long. RefSeq lists it as uncharacterized. NCBI's taxonomy places the organism in Eukaryota, Viridiplantae, Streptophyta, Magnoliopsida, Poales, Poaceae. The record is from RefSeq and is a predicted model, not a curated record. The transcript is spliced from 4 exons.